CCUCUAUGCGACCCCCACUGUAGGAUUGUAGUCUUCUAUUAUCUCUCGUACCCAACCGUACGUUCAUAAAGCGGCCUCCAACUGACUUUCAUCUCUUCUUUUGCAAUUCACUAUAAUAUGUACCCCUCUCUCUCUCUCUGUCCGUUUUUUCCGUGGGACACUAACCUCCUGUUACCUCAUGUUCUUGGCCGGUCAAACAAGGGCCUCCGCUAACCCUUCAUCCCCCCGACUGUAGUUCACUGUAAUACGUAACAACCCCCGUUGUAGUUCACGGUAAUAUGUAUUACAGAGAUUAUCCACCACUAGAUCUGAUCUAAUAUUUUCUCUUCAGAUUACAAAUGACUACUCAUCGAUGGAACCAUCUCGAAUAUCCAAAAAAGAUUCAGAAAAAUUAAGAUGAAGCAAUCUUAUAUCAUUUGCUAUUUAUCGGCCUCAAG
This 437-nucleotide long non-coding RNA is filed under the name Elaeis guineensis (African oil palm). RNAcentral's name for it is "long non-coding RNA (EGUI_LNC075759)". Lineage: Eukaryota; Viridiplantae; Streptophyta; Magnoliopsida; Arecales; Arecaceae. The record is from RNAcentral.